GACGGGUGAGUAAUGCUUGGGAAUAUGCCUUAUGGUGGGGGACAACAGUUGGAAACGACUGCUAAUACCGCAUGAUGUCUACGGACCAAAGUGGGGGACCUUCGGGCCUCACGCCAUAAGAUUAGCCCAAGUGGGAUUAGCUAGUUGGUGAGGUAAUGGCUCACCAAGGCGACGAUCCCUAGCUGGUUUGAGAGGAUGAUCAGCCACACUGGGACUGAGACACGGCCCAGACUCCUACGGGAGGCAGCAGUGGGGAAUAUUGCACAAUGGGCGCAAGCCUGAUGCAGCCAUGCCGCGUGUGUGAAGAAGGCCUUCGGGUUGUAAAGCACUUUCAGUAAGGAGGAAAGGUUAGUCACUAAUAUUGGCUAGCUGUGACGUUACUUACAGAAGAAGCACCGGCUAACUCCGUGCCAGCAGCCGCGGUAAUACGGAGGGUGCGAGCGUUAAUCGGAAUUACUGGGCGUA
Molecule: ribosomal RNA, 465 nt
Filed under: Pseudoalteromonas mariniglutinosa
Lineage: Bacteria; Pseudomonadati; Pseudomonadota; Gammaproteobacteria; Alteromonadales; Pseudoalteromonadaceae
Description: bacterial SSU rRNA
Rfam family: Bacterial small subunit ribosomal RNA
Source: RNAcentral